Haliotis rubra (blacklip abalone) is the source of this 878-nucleotide long non-coding RNA. RefSeq lists it as uncharacterized. The transcript has 3 exons. Lineage: Eukaryota; Metazoa; Mollusca; Gastropoda; Lepetellida; Haliotidae. The record is from RefSeq and is a predicted model, not a curated record.
AAAAAGAAUUGUGUUGUAUUUUAUGGUGUUUAUUUUCGGGUGAGUGUAGAUACAAUUUCCAGCUAAAAAGCACCUCUACUGCAGUGUAUUUUAAUGUUGUGUAGCGCUAGCUCUCGUCAUUGUCAGUUGAAAUUGACAUCAUCUCCCCUAUCUGCACGUGGACCACGCUUUGCAGUGGUAGUCUCUUUAUGGCAGAUAUCGUCCCUGCGCUUUCCUCCAGACUGUCGCAUGCUUUGCACGGGUAAUCUGCCGUGUCGUACAUCUCCGAGAAAGUUAUGACACAUUCCAGACAUCACAAAGUCGGCGAGCGAGUGAGUGGAUUUGUAGGAUUUUGACGGCUGCCUCUAACCACGAAACGGUGAUAUUUUGAACAUGUACCUUAGAAUAAAAAAAUGAUCAGCAAACCAUAUACAUAUACAUAUACACUGACAAUUUUCAUAGCCCUCAGUAGAAAAGCAAUCCAGAUUAGCCACUGUAGUGAGGAAAAUAGAAUAUUAUUUGUCCCUCCGUUGUCUUUGAAGCUAUGUUGCUGCAACUGGUACACACAACGUGCACUGGCGGCAUAAAUGCAUAUCCCAAUUUUGGUCGAAAUCGGAUGGGUGGUUUCCGAGUUACGGGUGUUGAAAAGCUGGAAAACAUCAGCUGUGAGGACUGGAAAACUUGACCCCUGGUCGGCUGGGGGUGAUGUACCUUUUAAGAAGUUCCGGAGAAGAGAUAGUUCGCUCUUUGACAGGCCGUAGCUCCGUUGUCCUGGGGUCUACGUUCAAAACAAUUAGUGUUCUGGAAUCGUCAGAACUUCAGCUAUCAGACGCACCGUUUCAAGUGUCCAAACGGUGCAUUUUAGCGACUUGUGCCGUCCAGGCGAAAUGGUAGGCAUU